UAACUGAAGAGUUUGAUCAUGGCUCAGAUUGAACGCUGGCGGCAGGCCUAACACAUGCAAGUCGAGCGGAAACGAUCCUAGCUUGCUAGGAGGCGUCGAGCGGCGGACGGGUGAGUAAUGCAUAGGAAUCUGCCCGGUAGUGGGGGAUAACUUGAGGAAACUCAAGCUAAUACCGCAUACGCCCCAAGGGGGAAAGCAGGGGAUCUUCGGACCUUGCGCUAUCGGAUGAGCCUAUGUCGGAUUAGCUAGUUGGUGAGGUAAUGGCUCACCAAGGCCGCGAUCCGUAGCUGGUCUGAGAGGAUGAUCAGCCACAUCGGGACUGAGACACGGCCCGAACUCCUACGGGAGGCAGCAGUGGGGAAUAUUGGACAAUGGGCGAAAGCCUGAUCCAGCCAUGCCGCGUGUGUGAAGAAGGCCUUCGGGUUGUAAAGCACUUUCAGCGAGGAAGAACGCUUGUGGGUUAAUACCCUGCAAGAAGGACAUCACUCGCAGAAGAAGCACCGGCUAACUCCGUGCCAGCAGCCGCGGUAAUACGGAGGGUGCAAGCGUUAAUCGGAAUUACUGGGCGUAAAGCGCGCGUAGGCGGCUUGAUAAGCCGGUUGUGAAAGCCCCGGGCUCAACCUGGGAACGGCAUCCGGAACUGUCAGGCUAGAGUGCAGGAGAGGAAGGUAGAAUUCCCGGUGUAGCGGUGAAAUGCGUAGAGAUCGGGAGGAAUACCAGUGGCGAAGGCGGCCUUCUGGACUGACACUGACGCUGAGGUGCGAAAGCGUGGGUAGCAAACAGGAUUAGAUACCCUGGUAGUCCACGCCGUAAACGAUGUCGACUAGCCGUUGGGGUCCUCGAGACCUUUGUGGCGCAGUUAACGCGAUAAGUCGACCGCCUGGGGAGUACGGCCGCAAGGUUAAAACUCAAAUGAAUUGACGGGGGCCCGCACAAGCGGUGGAGCAUGUGGUUUAAUUCGAUGCAACGCGAAGAACCUUACCUACUCUUGACAUCGAGCGAACC
This 1005-nucleotide ribosomal RNA is filed under the name Halomonas halophila. RNAcentral's name for it is "partial 16S ribosomal RNA". It matches the Rfam family "Bacterial small subunit ribosomal RNA", at positions 1 to 997 of the family's 1533-position model. Lineage: Bacteria; Pseudomonadati; Pseudomonadota; Gammaproteobacteria; Oceanospirillales; Halomonadaceae. The record is from RNAcentral.